RNAcentral lists this transfer RNA (74 nucleotides) under Lentilactobacillus parakefiri. Its description in RNAcentral is "tRNA-Phe". The stretch from base 14 to 67 matches the Rfam family "tRNA", at positions 8 to 63 of the family's 71-position model. Rfam says of the family: Transfer RNA (tRNA) molecules are approximately 80 nucleotides in length. Their secondary structure includes four short double-helical elements and three loops (D, anti-codon, and T loops). Lineage: Bacteria; Bacillati; Bacillota; Bacilli; Lactobacillales; Lactobacillaceae. The record is from RNAcentral.
GUACGGACCGGUUUGGCUCGGUAGAGCAAUGCAUUGAAGCUGCAUGUGUCGGCAGUUCGAUUCUGUCCCGCGCC